ACACCCUACUUAAGUACUUACUUCAUGCAUGAGUAUAUUAUUAUAUAAAAGUUUAAUUAUAUAAAACAAAACGCAUCAAUUAUAGGUACUUGAUGCUAUCCUUGCCCCAAUAUUGUGCGUCAUGUAUGCGUGCGCAAAAACAGGAUAUGCUCAGCAAUUUCUACGACUUAAACCUCGAGAGGUUAGCGUCGCAGCGCUGAUUUUCAGCACAUCCCUGGGUGACGUAAUGGCGUCCCGCCAGCUUCACUAUUCGCCAGCGAUCAUGAAUGCAAUGCAACGAAUGACCAAGUAGCCGGCAUAACCUGUAAAAUACAGAUAUACCUAUAUUGAACAUAAAUGAUGGGGGAGGCUGCAGCCACGAACGAACCUGUUGGAUACCUGUGCCUCACCAUGUUGGAAGGCCGCGACCCUUGAGGUCUCGCAUUGGUGGUGGCAGGUUGUUCCAACAGUGAGUCGCAGCAUAUUUGAAGCUCCCCCUGAAGGCCGCCGUUCUGUGCUGAGGGAUGGAUAGUGGAUUUAUAUAUAUAUAGAAGUAUAUAUAUUUAACAUAACUGCUCGUUUCGUUAUGUUAUGAAACUCAUUUAUAAGAAAGUGAGUCCAUUGCCAUAUACAGACCACAACUAUAGUCUUAAUAAAUUAAAAAGAAACAAUAUUACAUAAUCGUCAGCCUUUAAUUAUCUAACUAACGAUCUGGGUAACAUUGUCUUCUCAUAUGGAGAACCCAUAAGCUCUGAUUACCAUGCUGGACUAAGGAGGAUAUUGUAUACUAUCUUAUAAUAACAAGUAGCGCAGUCAGACUGCUUAUCUGAAUAGAAAAAUAUAAUUCAUCGACUUAUCGUAAAGUUUCAGGAAAAUGUAUAAGUUAGGUCUAUAUUUAACAUAUAGUUUAUUCUAUCUAA
Long non-coding RNA from Spodoptera litura, 899 nucleotides. RefSeq lists it as uncharacterized. NCBI's taxonomy places the organism in Eukaryota, Metazoa, Arthropoda, Insecta, Lepidoptera, Noctuidae. The record is from RefSeq and is a predicted model, not a curated record.